Oryzias javanicus (javanese ricefish) is the source of this 133-nucleotide small nucleolar RNA. NCBI's taxonomy places the organism in Eukaryota, Metazoa, Chordata, Actinopteri, Beloniformes, Adrianichthyidae. The record is from Ensembl.
AAAGCAGGCCUGCAAUUGCAGCACUCCAUGUUGGUAGAGUGCUGUCAUUAACCCUGCUGAGAGAAAGUCAGCUAUUGAGCUUGUGCUCCUCCUCACUGUGCUGGUGAUGAAGGACGCUCAGAGGCUGAACACC